GGUCCGUUAGCUCAGUCGGCAGAGCGCGGUGCUGAUAACGCCGAGGUCGUGAGUUCAAACCUCACACGGACUA
This 73-nucleotide transfer RNA is filed under the name Stylophora pistillata. Its description in RNAcentral is "tRNA-Ile". It matches the Rfam family "tRNA". From Rfam's summary of the family: Transfer RNA (tRNA) molecules are approximately 80 nucleotides in length. Their secondary structure includes four short double-helical elements and three loops (D, anti-codon, and T loops). Lineage: Eukaryota; Metazoa; Cnidaria; Anthozoa; Scleractinia; Pocilloporidae. The record is from Rfam by way of RNAcentral.